RNAcentral lists this ribosomal RNA (253 nucleotides) under uncultured bacterium. Its description in RNAcentral is "partial 16S ribosomal RNA". It matches the Rfam family "Bacterial small subunit ribosomal RNA", at positions 793 to 1055 of the family's 1533-position model. The record is from RNAcentral.
GUCCACGCUGUAACGUUGAAUACUCGAUGUUGGCGAUAUACAGUCAGCGUCCAAGAGAAUCGUUAAGUAUUCCACCUGGGAGUACGCUCGCAAGAGUGAACUCAAGGAAUUGACGGGGCCCGGCACAAGUAGAGGAGCAUGUGGUUUAAUUCGAUGAUACGCGAGAAACCUUACCUGGUCUUGAAUGUGAGUGAUCGGUGCAGAAAUGCACUUUUCCGCAAGGACACAAAACAAGGUGCUGCAUGGCUGUCGU